RNAcentral lists this ribosomal RNA (443 nucleotides) under uncultured bacterium. RNAcentral's name for it is "partial 16S ribosomal RNA". It matches the Rfam family "Bacterial small subunit ribosomal RNA", at positions 338 to 795 of the family's 1533-position model. The record is from RNAcentral.
CCUACGGGAGGCUGCAGUGGGGAAUAUUGGGCAAUGGGCGCAAGCCUGACCCAGCAACGCCGCGUGAAGGAAGACGGCUCUCGGGUUGUAAACUUCUUUUAUCAGGGACGAAGCAAGUGACGGUACCUGAUGAAUAAGCCACGGCUAACUACGUGCCAGCAGCCGCGGUAAUACGUAGGGGGCAAGCGUUAUCCGGAUUUACUGGGUGUAAAGGGCGUGUAGGCGGGAAAGCAAGUCAGAUGUGAAAACCAUGGGCUCAACCUGUGGCCUGCAUUUGAAACUGGUUUUCUUGAGUACUGGAGAGGCAGACGGAAUUCCUAGUGUAGCGGUGAAAUGCGUAGAUAUUAGGAGGAACACCAGUGGCGAAGGCAGUCUGCUGGACAGCAACUGACGCUGAGGCGCGAAAGCGUGGGGAGCAAACAGGAUUAGAUACCCGAGUAGUC